Molecule: ribosomal RNA, 293 nt
Filed under: uncultured bacterium
Lineage: Bacteria
Description: partial 16S ribosomal RNA
Rfam family: Archaeal small subunit ribosomal RNA
Source: RNAcentral
GUGCCAGCAGCCGCGGUAAUACCGGCAGCCCGAGUGAUGGCCGAUCUUAUUGGGCCUAAAGCGUCCGUAGCUGGCCGCGCAAGUCCAUCGGGAAAUCCACCUGCUCAACAGGUGGGCGCCCGGUAGAAACUGUGCGGCUUGGGACCGGAAGGCGCGACGGGUACGUCCGGGGUAGGAGUGAAAUCCUAUAAUCCUGGACGGACCACCAAUGGGGAAACCACGUCGAGAGACCGGACCCGACAGUGAGGGACGAAAGCCAGGGUCUCGAACCGGAUUAGAAACCCUGGUAGUCC